CCCAGCUCUGCGUACAUGUGGGUUCAGUUCCGGCUUCAAGCUUUGCCCAGAAGCGGAGGAAGAGCUCGUCGAGCCUUUGUUCUAGGCUUACAUGUAGGAUUAAGAUGUUUGGUUGUUCAGGCAAGUGCAGUCCUGCGUGUCCGUCCGCCAUUUUGUGGGAGCGCAUGUCUGUCCCGGACCACGCCGUCAUCGCCACUCACUGGAGUCGAGGAUAGGUGAGGCAGCCAGUGGGGACCAGGAUAACCCCCGCCAGUCCAGAGGGGGGAGAUGUCUGUACCCGUGGCAGCGGCCGUCCGCCGCGUCCUCCGCUCAACUAGGCCGCAAUCCGCGGGAGGUCGACCCGAGCUUCAGCUUGUCUGUCGUGGGGUCAGGCAGCCCUCUCUCCAGAGUGCCUUUCCCCUGUUUGCAGUCUGCUUGAUUAGCGUUUUUUUUUUAUCAGUUUUUAGGCUUCAGGAAUCAGGAGCUCAGGGAACCUGCGAUUGAUCAG
Molecule: non-coding RNA, 487 nt
Organism: Pelobates cultripes (western spadefoot toad)
Lineage: Eukaryota; Metazoa; Chordata; Amphibia; Anura; Pelobatidae
Source: the annotation of a GenBank genome assembly